GUGCAGCAGGCGAGAAACCUCCGCAAUACACGAAAGUGUGACGGGGCCAUCCCGAGUGCCGUCCGCUGAGGACGGCUUUUCCCCAGUGUACACAGCUGGGGGAAUAAGGAGAGGGCAAGCCUGGUGUCAGCCGCCGCGGUAAUACCAGCUCUCCGAGUGGUGGGGACGCUUAUUGGGCCUAAAGCAUCCGUAGCCGGCUGGGCAAGUCCUCCGUUAAAUCCAACGAUUCAAUCGUUGGGCUGCGGGGGAUACUGUCCAGCUUGGGGGCGGGAGAGGCCGACGGUAUUCCCCGGGGUAGGGGUGAAAUCCUAUAAUCCCGGGAGGACCACCAGUGGCGAAGGCUGUCGGCUAGAACGCGCCCGACGGUAAGGGAUGGAAAGC
This 381-nucleotide ribosomal RNA is filed under the name uncultured microorganism. RNAcentral's name for it is "bacterial SSU rRNA". It matches the Rfam family "Archaeal small subunit ribosomal RNA", at positions 330 to 712 of the family's 1478-position model. The record is from RNAcentral.